This 438-nucleotide long non-coding RNA is filed under the name Pan troglodytes (chimpanzee). RNAcentral's name for it is "long non-coding RNA NONPTRT011402". The record is from RNAcentral. Lineage: Eukaryota; Metazoa; Chordata; Mammalia; Primates; Hominidae.
GGGGCGGAGUCCCGGGCUUGUCCUCCCUGCGAGCGGCUCCUCCAAGGAGGGAGUACUUGCUGCAUUUGAUCCUCUACAACUGGUGUUGCUCCCGUUAUGCGGACAGAAGACAGCCCCAGGGAACAAAUGCUAGGAAAUGGCAGGGUGAGAAAACUGAGGCAUAGAGAGGUUACAAUAUAACUUAGAUCUCCCAGCUGGCAAGUAAUGGUUUAAGCCAGGAGCCUACACACUUCCUCCUACUUCCUCUAUGGGUGCUGGUGAUCUGCCGACUCCUAGACAUCCAGCUUUAAGGUCCUCAGUGAAGCUUCUCUGCCCCCAGGCCUGUCCAUGUCAGAGCACCAUGGGUGUCCCUUUGAAAGUGUCUCCUACAGGUCUGUGAUUAUGCGGUCUAUGUGUAAACCAAAGGGUUCCAAGAGUUUUGGCCUUCCAACUAUUUUU